RNAcentral lists this ribosomal RNA (287 nucleotides) under Pyrenula mamillana. RNAcentral describes it as "partial small subunit ribosomal RNA". The record is from RNAcentral. Lineage: Eukaryota; Fungi; Ascomycota; Eurotiomycetes; Pyrenulales; Pyrenulaceae.
AAACUCGGUCCUGCCGUUCAAAUACUGCCAAUCUUGAACGGGAGCGCUGGCCGACUCCUGGUUGUUAGGGAGUUGACGACACCUUGAGUCUGCAGGAACACUCCUGGGGCAUGUAGACCCCGAGGAACGAUCUGCAGCCGUCUUGAUCCUUGGAUCUUGUCGGCCCACAGACUAGAUAGAGGUGGGUACCGUCUUGACAAGAUGGUAGUUUAGAUAUAGUCGCCUACCCAGAGGCAUAUAAUCUGGGACACAUCGGUUCCGUAGGUGAACCUGCGGAAGGAUCAUUA